CCUACGGGCGGCAGCAGUGAGGAAUAUUGGUCAAUGGGCGCGAGCCUGAACCAGCCAAGUAGCGUGAAGGAUGACUGCCCUACGGGUCGUAAACUUCUUUUAUAAAGGAAUAAAGUGAGGCACGUGUGCCUUUUUGUAUGUACUUUAUGAAUAAGGAUCGGCUAACUCCGUGCCAGCAGCCGCGGUAAUACGGAGGAUCCGAGCGUUAUCCGGAUUUAUUGGGUUUAAAGGGUGCGUAGAUGGGUUGUUAAGUCAGUUGUGAAAGUUUGCGGCUCAACCGUAAAAUUGCAAUUGAUACUGGCAGUCUUGAGUACAGGUGAGGUAGGAGGAAUUCGUGGUGUAGCGGUGAAAUGCUUAGAUAUCACGAAGAACUCCGAUUGCGAAGGCAGCUUACUAAACUGCCACUGACAUUGAUGCUCGAAAGUGUGGGUAUCAAACAGGAUUAGAUACCCCUGUAGUC
RNAcentral lists this ribosomal RNA (460 nucleotides) under uncultured bacterium. RNAcentral describes it as "partial 16S ribosomal RNA". It matches the Rfam family "Bacterial small subunit ribosomal RNA", at positions 338 to 795 of the family's 1533-position model. The record is from RNAcentral.